AGAGCGAACGCUGGCGGCAGGCCUAACACAUGCAAGUCGAACGGACCCUUCGGGGUUAGUGGCGGACGGGUGAGUAACACGUGGGAACGUGCCUUUUGGUUCGGAAUAGCUCCUGGAAACGGGUGGUAAUGCCGAAUGUGCCCUUCGGGGGAAAGAUUUAUCGCCAUUAGAGCGGCCCGCGUCUGAUUAGCUAGUUGGUAAGGUAAUGGCUUACCAAGGCGACGAUCAGUAGCUGGUCUGAGAGGAUGACCAGCCACAUUGGGACUGAGACACGGCCCAAACUCCUACGGGAGGCAGCAGUGGGGAAUCUUGCGCAAUGGGCGAAAGCCUGACGCAGCCAUGCCGCGUGAAUGAUGAAGGUCUUAGGAUUGUAAAUUCUUUCACCGGGACGAUAAUGACGGUACCGGAGAAGAACGCCCGGCUAACUCGUGCCAGCCAAGCCGUC
RNAcentral lists this ribosomal RNA (445 nucleotides) under uncultured soil bacterium. Its description in RNAcentral is "bacterial SSU rRNA". It matches the Rfam family "Bacterial small subunit ribosomal RNA", at positions 26 to 522 of the family's 1533-position model. The record is from RNAcentral.